This 534-nucleotide ribosomal RNA is filed under the name uncultured bacterium. Its description in RNAcentral is "bacterial SSU rRNA". It matches the Rfam family "Bacterial small subunit ribosomal RNA", at positions 137 to 664 of the family's 1533-position model. The record is from RNAcentral.
AUUGGGACAACUCGGGGAAACUCGAGCUAAUACCGAAUAAUCUCUGAGGAGAAAAGGUUGCCUCUGUAUACAAGCAACCGCUUUAUGUUGAACCUACGUCGGAUUAGCUAGUUGGUGGGGUAAAGGCUCACCAAGGCGACGAUCCGUAGCUGGUCUGAGAGGAUGAUCAGCCACACUGGGACUGGGACACGGCCCAGACUCCUACGGGAGGCAGCAGUGGGGAAUAUUGGACAAUGGGGGCAACCCUGAUCCAGCGAUGCCGCGUGUGUGAAGAAGGCCUGCGGGUUGUAAAGCACUUUAGUUGGGGAGGAAAGGCUCAUUGCGAAUAGUGAUGAGAGUUGACGUUACCCAAAGAAUAAGCACCGGCUAACUCUGUGCCAGCAGCCGCGGUAAUACAGAGGGUGCAAGCGUUAAUCGGAAUUACUGGGCGUAAAGGGCGCGUAGGUGGUUAAUUUAGUCAGCUGUGAAAGGCCAGGGCUUAACCUUGGAACUGCAUUUGAUACUGGUUGACUCGAGUCGAGUAGAGGGGAGCGG